Molecule: ribosomal RNA, 468 nt
Filed under: uncultured bacterium
Lineage: Bacteria
Description: partial 16S ribosomal RNA
Rfam family: Bacterial small subunit ribosomal RNA
Source: RNAcentral
GACGAACGCUGGCGGCGUGCUUAACACAUGCAAGUCGAACGGAAAGGCCCUGCUUUUGUGGGGUGCUCGAGUGGCGAACGGGUGGGUAACACGUGAGUAACCUGCCCUUGACUUUGGGAUAACUUCAGGAAACUGGGGCUAAUACCAGAUAGGAGCUCCUGCUGCAUGGUGGGGGUUGGAAAGUUUCGGCGGUUGGGGAUGGACUCGCGGCUUAUCAGCUUGUUGGUGGGGUAGUGGCUUACCAAGGCUUUGACGGGUAGCCGGCCUGAGAGGGUGACCGGCCACAUUGGGACUGAGAUACGGCCCAGACUCCUACGGGAGGCAGCAGUGGGGAAUAUUGCACAAUGGGCGGAAGCCUGAUGCAGCAACGCCGCGUGCGGGAUGACGGCCUUCGGGUUGUAAACCGCUUUCGCCUGUGACGAAGCGUGAGUGACGGUAAUGGGUAAAGAAGCACCGGCUAACUACGUG